UAUACAGCAUGGAACAGGGCUCCACAAGGACAUGAAUACCAGGUGGCAGGGAUCACUGGGCCAUCUCUCUAAAUCAGGAAUGAAACAUUUGCAACCUGUGUCUCCCAAACAUGAUAUGUCUCAAUCAUCAAAGGAUCUACAGUGACUACGAUAACCAAGUGCUACAAAAACGCUGUGACAAGGAAUCUGAACAAUAGAGAUUUGAGGGAAACAAAGCACUUUCGACGAAGGUCCUGCUGCUUGUCUUCAGCUCGGUACCAAUUAGAGCUUCACUGGAGGUGAAAAGAGAUUUUUAGGGAUGCAAGAUGAAAGCAGCUAAACACAACUAUAGGAAAUGGAGGCUGUUAUCAGCAUCUAGCUUAGGAUGGCGAGCCAAGCAUGGCUCUCAGGUGCAACUCACAUGGAGACGUGGCUCUCAGGUAAAAGAUGCUGCUGUCGGGCAUGAAAAAUACAACACAAAUUUUAUGAGCAAUAAUCACACCUCCUCUGAAUCAUCUGUUUGAGUUCUUCCAGGUUUGAAAUAAUGGAACCUGCACAAGGACAAUGAAUCGCGGCAUGUCUUCCAAGGAAAAACUGUAACUAAAUCUAUGGCAAGUUUUUGGAUUAGAAAAAUCUAGACUUCGUGAAGAUAAGAGCAGAGCUGUGGAAAAGUAAGACAAAGAAAUCAUCCAACAAUACAAGCAACAUACAAGAGGGCUUAUGUCACUUCUGUCCUCCUUCCCAGCCAAGUAAAGCAAAAGAGAAACAACUUUCAAAAGGACUGAAACACUAUGGACUCAAUUUCCAUGUGCUGCACUAAAUGGGGUCCUUAGAGCAUCCCGGGCUGUCUUUGCUCUGAUUUUAUCAGAGUAAAAAAUUUAAAUUUUGCUUAUGAUAGGCUGAAGUUCUUAUA
Gorilla gorilla gorilla (western lowland gorilla) is the source of this 892-nucleotide long non-coding RNA. RefSeq lists it as uncharacterized. The record is from RefSeq and is a predicted model, not a curated record. NCBI's taxonomy places the organism in Eukaryota, Metazoa, Chordata, Mammalia, Primates, Hominidae. The transcript is spliced from 6 exons.